Schizophyllum commune H4-8 is the source of this 99-nucleotide non-coding RNA. The record is from the annotation of a RefSeq genome assembly. Lineage: Eukaryota; Fungi; Basidiomycota; Agaricomycetes; Agaricales; Schizophyllaceae.
UCCUCGGUAGUAUAUCGGCUAGUACACCCGCCUGUCAUGCAGCGUCGGUUAGUGAACUUGUCUUCGCGGGAGAGCGGGGUUCGACUCCCCGCCGAGGAG